Molecule: RNA transcript, 2587 nt
Organism: Mercurialis annua (annual mercury)
Lineage: Eukaryota; Viridiplantae; Streptophyta; Magnoliopsida; Malpighiales; Euphorbiaceae
Gene name: protein COFACTOR ASSEMBLY OF COMPLEX C SUBUNIT B CCB2, chloroplastic
Exons: 10
Source: RefSeq, a predicted model, not a curated record
GAAACUCAGGUCUCUUGCUCCUAAAUUUCAUCAAAACAUAAAAAUUAUCUUCUCAAAACAACAAUUUUUUCAUCUUCUUCCUCUGUUCAUUCUUCCGCCGCUGCCACUGCUCGAUCUUCCGCAACUGGUCCGCUACUGCACAUUCAGACAGCCGCUGCUACUGCCGAACAGGUUCGGUGACCAGCUCCAUAUACAUGGAGUUGAGUUGACGGGAGAGACAAAGAACAGUCAGCAUAAAAUGUGCGAGAUUUAAAGAAAAUACAAAGCAAAAAGAUUCAAAUUUCUUCAAUUCCCAAACAACUGACGAAAGAAAUGAGUGGUCUUUUGAUAAACCCAAUAAUUCAGUUCAAAAUACGUCCUGAAUUUCGCGCCAUAAAAGUGAAAUCCAUAACUACAACAGCUCGCAUGGACAAUUCUGGAGCAUCAAAAAGCAAUCAAAAACAGGAACUAAAUCUUUCCGUUCUUCGCUUCACGUUUGGGAUACCUGGAUUAGAUGAAUCCUACUUACCCAGAUAUAUAGGAUAUGGGUUUGGGUCGCUUCUUAUAUUAAACCAUUUUCUGGGUUCUAAUUCUGAUAUAAGUCUGCCCCAGCUGACAACAGAGGCUUUAGGCCUUUCUUUGGCAGCAUUCUCAAGUGCACUUCCAUAUUUUGGAAGAUUUCUGAAGGGUGCUACUGCAGUGGAUCAGGCAACCCUUCCUCAAGGAACUGACCAAAUUUUUGUCAUGUCAGAAACUUUAUCUGAUUCACAAAAGGAGGAAUUAGCCUGGGCAACAUAUGUUUUAUUGAGAAAUACAAACACCAUUGGUGUGUUGAUAUCAGUUCAGGGGGAAUUAUGCGUCCGUGGAUAUUGGAACACUCCAGAUAAUUUAUUAAAAUCCCUACUGCUUGAUUGGUUUAAAAGAAAUAUUGAAAAUAUUGGUCUUUUUGACCUGAAGGACUCUAUCUAUUUUCCACAGACUGCAGACUCUGAACUCUGGGAGAUGCUCCCAAAGGGGACUCGUUCUCUUCUGGUUGAGCCUGUGCAUUUAGAAAGAGACAAAAAUGCCAAGGAGAUGGAAAAGACUGUAGGUUUUCUCUUAUUGGCCUCAAGCAUUGAAUAUGCAUAUAGUGACAAGGAUAGAGCCUGGAUAAAAGCAGUUGCAACCAAAUUUGGAGGUGAGAACACAUGUCCAGAAUUGUAAUACAUUUCUGAUUAGUUUGAUGCUUUAAUUCAAUAAUCAGCUCUGCUUUGAUUCUGCUCUACAUGAAUGACAUUGUCAAUGCUUGAUUUUGCAGGCGGCACAUAAAUAUGGUAAUUUGUUUGUUGAGUUGACACAAUGUAGCUAUUUUUGAAUAUAGUAACUUACAAGGAUGGCAUGAAUUCUUCAUUUGAUAUGCGAGUUUACCAGAGGCUAAGUUCCAUGCUGAGAUUCAAGAGCAUAUGACAUCUUAUAGAAAUUUUUCCAAGCCAUACACCAGAUUCUGCAGAAGUAACAAAAACAAAAAGAAUGGUAUUUUUUGAGAGUGGCUGUGAAAGUUGAAGCAGGCAGAAUCAAGGAAGAAAUGAAAUAUCAGACAAUUAUUUACCUUAAGACGGAUGACCUUUCUAAUAGCCAAGAGGAGGCCAGGCAUGAGGCAUUCUACAUCUGUGAUAUCAUGUUUGAUAGAGUAUACCUGUGAAUAACAGUGGCAAAUUAUUGGAUUAUCAUAUUUGGAAGGAAUAAUCCAACAGUUUCAUCUAUUUUGCUGAUCAGAAAAAUAAUCAGAAAAUGCACCUCUCCUGGCCCAGAGAAGUAAACUGUUGUGCUGGAGGGCAGCCCUGGUAACACCAAGCUAUGAACCCUAACACCAUCUUCUCCUAGAACUUGGCCCCUAGCCUUAUAAUAUAAGUAAAUGAGUUGUAUUACGAGACAUUAACGUUGCUCUCUAUAUUGCAUUUGACAUCAAAAUAACUCCAUUCUGAGAAGUGCCAGAUUACCAGAACAUCAGUCGACAUAUCUCCUUUAUUGUAGAUCUGACCCAGGUUGGAAAGAUUCUUUGCAAUUUGGUUUGCAUCCGCUGAUGGAAGGUCCUGUUGAUGAAUGGCUUUUUUAGUAUAAAAUUUUGGAUGCUUCAUUUAUCCACAAGGAGUAUUGAACCUAUGGAUAGAGUCGGUGCAACCAGACAACCCUAUUGUUCGUGUUGCCAAAGUUAGACAAGUCAGAUAGUGAAGAAGAAAUGUUGGCGCUGAAACAUGAAUGGAAGUGUUCACCGUCAAAUAACUGUAUUAUUAUCUCACCCUGUGCUCACCAUGCUGGCCUUGUCACAUAGUGCAGAUAAUGCGGCAACUGUGUCCGCUUCAAUUCGAGGUACGUAGACUAUGCUUUUCAUGCCAAAUGCUGUUGCCUAACAAAGUAGGAACGUCAACAGAAAGCUCUAGUUAGUAGCUGCUAACUAAUCGUAUACGAAAUUACGUGUUGCUUUGUAUUUCUAGGCUUAAUCUAAAGUAGGAUGUUUUUCUUUGUCAAUGAAAUCAGUAGAAAGAUGAUAGAACCUGUUUCACAUUGUCAUAAACCGCUGAAGGUUCAGUGAAAUCAAUAACAACUCCAGUUUCUUUUGACUGCAAAA